UUAGUACAGACUGAGCAGGGACGGGCAGACCGUUCCCGGGCCUUCAGGCAGUGGAAAAACUCCGCAGGACAGCA
RNAcentral lists this non-coding RNA (74 nucleotides) under unclassified sequences. RNAcentral describes it as "NiCo sequence". It matches the Rfam family "NiCo (Nickel/Cobalt) riboswitch aptamer". The record is from RNAcentral.